GUGGGUAAUCUACCUCCGAAUUGGGGAUGACAUUGCGAACAGAUGCUAAUACCGGAUAAUAUCUUAAAAGCUUCGGCUUUAAAGAUCAAAGGUGGCCUCUACAUGUAAGCUUCUGUUUGGAGAUGAGCCCGCGUACCAUUAGCUUGUUGGUAGGGUAAUGGCCUACCAAGGCUACGAUGGUUAGCUGGUCUGAGAGGAUGAUCAGCCACACUGGAACUGACACACGGUCCAGACUCCUACGGGAGGCAGCAGUGAGGAAUUUUGCGCAAUGGGGGAAACCCUGACGCAGCAACCCGCGUGAGUGAUGAAGGCUUUCGGGUCGUAAAGCUCUGUCAAGUGAGAAGAACCCACAUGGUGAUAAUACCACUAUGUGCUGACGGUAUCACUAAAGGAAGCACCGGCUAACUCCGUGCCAGCAGCCGCGGUAAUACGGGGGGUGCAAGCGUUAUUCGGAAUUACUGGGCGUAAAGGGCGCGCAGGGGUCUCUUAAGUCAGAUGUGAAAGCCCGGGGCUCAACCCCGAAGUGCAUUUGAAACUAAGGGACUUGAGUAUGGGAGAGGGAAGUGGAAUUCCUGGUGUAGCGGUGAAAUGCGUAGAUAUCAGGAGGAACACCGGUGGCGAAGGGACUUCCUGGACCAAUACUGACGCUGAGGCGCGAAGCGUGGGGAGCAAACAGGAUUAGAUACCCUGGUAGUCCACGCAGUAAACGGUGAACACUAGGUGUAGCGGGUAUUGACCCCCGCUGUGCCGCAGUUAACGCAUUAAGUGUUCCGCCUGGGAAGUACG
Molecule: ribosomal RNA, 786 nt
Filed under: uncultured bacterium
Lineage: Bacteria
Description: bacterial SSU rRNA
Rfam family: Bacterial small subunit ribosomal RNA
Source: RNAcentral